RNAcentral lists this ribosomal RNA (402 nucleotides) under uncultured bacterium. Its description in RNAcentral is "bacterial SSU rRNA". It matches the Rfam family "Bacterial small subunit ribosomal RNA", at positions 9 to 416 of the family's 1533-position model. The record is from RNAcentral.
GAGUUUGAUCAUGGCUCAGGACGAACGCUGGCGGCGUGCUUAACACAUGCAAGUCGAGCGGAAAGGCCCUUCGGGGUACUCGAGCGGCGAACGGGUGAGUAACACGUGAGCAACCUGCCCUAGGCUUUGGGAUAACCCUCGGAAACGGGGGCUAAUACCGAAUAUUACUUGGUCUCGCAUGAGGUUGGGUGGAAAGUUUUUCGGCCUAGGAUGGGCUCGCGGCCUAUCAGCUUGUUGGUGGGGUAAUGGCCUACCAAGGCGACGACGGGUAGCCGGCCUGAGAGGGCGACCGGCCACACUGGGACUGAGACACGGCCCAGACUCCUACGGGAGGCAGCAGUGGGGAAUAUUGCACAAUGGGCGGAAGCCUGAUGCAGCGACGCCGCGUGAGGGAUGACGGCC